This 262-nucleotide ribosomal RNA is filed under the name uncultured archaeon. RNAcentral's name for it is "partial 16S ribosomal RNA". It matches the Rfam family "Archaeal small subunit ribosomal RNA", at positions 748 to 1009 of the family's 1478-position model. The record is from RNAcentral.
UAGCCGUAAACGAUACUCGCUAGGUGUCGGCCACGGUGCGACCGUUGUCGGUGCCGUAGGGAAGCCGUGAAGCGAGCCACCUGGGAAGUACGGCCGCAAGGCUGAAACUUAAAGGAAUUGGCGGGGGGAGCACCACAACGGGUGGAGCUUGCGGUUUAAUUGGAUUCAACGCCGGAAAUCUUACCGGGACCGACAGCAACAUGAAGGCCAGGCUGAAGACUUUGCCGGAUUAGCUGAGAGGUGGUGCAUGGCGUAGACGUCU